AGCAGUGUGGCUUAGUGGAAAAAGCACAGGCUUGGGAUUCAGAGGAUCUGGUUUCUAAUCCCGGCUCUGCCA
This 72-nucleotide transfer RNA is filed under the name Ornithorhynchus anatinus (platypus). It matches the Rfam family "tRNA". From Rfam's summary of the family: Transfer RNA (tRNA) molecules are approximately 80 nucleotides in length. The record is from Rfam by way of RNAcentral. Lineage: Eukaryota; Metazoa; Chordata; Mammalia; Monotremata; Ornithorhynchidae.